Molecule: long non-coding RNA, 2633 nt
Filed under: Nicotiana tabacum (common tobacco)
Lineage: Eukaryota; Viridiplantae; Streptophyta; Magnoliopsida; Solanales; Solanaceae
Description: long non-coding RNA (NTAB_LNC009263)
Source: RNAcentral
GACCCCCCAUUUUUCCCUAUUUUCUUUUCUUCUUCCUCUCUCCUCAAUCUCUCAUCACUCUCUCGUCUCUCUAUCUCGCCGGCCGGAAAUCGUCACCACCGGCGGAUGUCGUCCAAAGACCAUAAAAUUUACACCAUUCUUCUCCCCUCACUCUCCUCUUUUUGAUUCCAAACCUCAAAACUUUCAACCCCCCCCCCCCCCCAAAUCCGUAGAUCUAAUUGGCCGAAACCUUAGCCGCCGACGGACCACUUUCAAUCCACCCCAAAUUCACACCAUGACCUCCCCUCACUUCCCCAUUUCCAAAUCCAUGAACCAAAUCCCUUGAAUCCCUCCCAAACUCCACGAAUAAACCAAAAUCCGAAACCCUAGCCCACUUUAUUUUGUAAAUUCGUCGAGUUUUAGACCUCUCAUUCAUAAAAUACUUGCAUAGGCAUGUAGAGCUCCACAUGAUCUAUCAUCCUAUGUUGGUUUCACCCAAAAACUCCGACAGAAGUUCGGCCGGAUUCUGGCAACCACCGCCACUGCUGGCAACCACCACACCCCAAUGCCCCUAUUGUUUUAGCCUAUUCCGACCCAAAUACGUUCGCUUCUCUCUAGCACGAUGUUGGAACUCAUUGGAUUCAAAGUGUGGUAGAAAGAAACGCUCGUUUCAAGGUCGAUUUCCUCGUGUGGUAAAACCUUUAUCCAUUUCCCUCUUUUCUGAUUUUUUGUUCUGUUUAUUAAAACUAGGAUCAUAUUUUAGUUUCUGUCUCGUUUAAUCUCACGUAAUUGGGUAGUAUUCAAUUUCAAUUAGUUUCAGUUUUGCUUCAAUAUCGUUUAUAUCAUUUAUAGGUAAUUUUAAGUGUUGAUUUCGACUCAUGUAUAUUAGUUUGAAUUAUGCAUUUUGUUUCAAAGAUUAAGUCUUUUGGUUAAUGUGCACUCAUUUAGUCUUGUUUGUAUUAGUCGUGUUAUACGUUUUGAUUAGCAUAUCAUGGGAAACAUGAUCAGUUCUGUUAGUUUACCUUGUUUUUAUCUUUUCAUUUUUAACUAGAUGAUAUUUGCUAGAUUCAAAUCAUGUUUUGGUUUGGUUUGGGACUGGCAGUUGGUAGUUUGGUUGUUUCAUGUUGGUUCAGGACCACAAUUUGAUAGUUCGAUUGAUUAGCUUCUAGUUUUGUUUGUAAUUUCUUUUGUUAACUGAUUGAUAUAGGUUAUAUGAAGUUCAACUAGAUUGUUUAUUUGUGUUAAUUGAUCAUCGACAUCCGUGAUCUUGAUUCAUUCUGAAGUAUGGUAAAUUAGUUUAGUUGAGUAAUUCAAGUCAUAAGUUCAUUUGUUCUAAUACAUUGAUAAUCUAUAGGUUGAAUGCUUGAUGAUAGUCUGUGUUGAAAUGCUUAGCAUAUUAUCACUUCAAUAGUUAUGAGUGUAUUUUAGUAAGAUUUGAGUAAUAUGAGUCAUGUGUUUGGUUUGAACAUAGAAUCUAGUUUGAGAGAUUGAGAGGAAAGAAAAGAAAGGGAGAGUACUUGAAUAUAGGGUCCGUGUUUGGUUUCUUUCACUAUUGCGGACUGUUUUGGAGUAUAAUACUCCAAAUUUUUGUCCACAGUUGGUAAGACAAACUGUUCAUUGGACAGAUUUUUGGUUUUGGACAGAUUUUGGGUCAAAAAUCUAUCAUUUUGGAUAAUUUUUGGCUAAAACAAAAUCUGUCCCAAGAGUCCUUCUCUCCUCUUCUAUAAAGGUAAGAUCUUUCCAUAUCCUCUAGGACAUAGUCUGAAUAUCCUUUACACUCUAUCACACAUUUUGACAAGUUUUUACACACAUCUUUAGAGCUGUUUUAAAGACAAAAAAACUUAAGAGAAAAAAUAGCAGCUGAACAUAAAGAAAGUAAACUGAAAUUGUGAGUGAAUUUUUGAGUGCAAACUUUUAGAAAAAUAUAAGUCUUCUUUAGAGUUGGUUCUAGGUCUCUUCUCUAAGGUUUUCAGGUUGUUUUAACACUUAUUUGUUGCUGGAUUGUUGAUGUUUUUGGCUGCUUUUGUUGUUGAAUUUCAGCCCCUCUCCGUGCUGACAUUUUCUUUCUGGUAUCCAGGUAAUUCUCUUAAAAUGAUACUGCAAUUUUGAGUCAGGACUGAAUGGAGACGAAGCAAUUUGAAGUUUUCUUGUUUUCAGUUUAUUCUAAGCUUUAAAAGAAUUUUGUUCUCUUGUAAGGUUUUGUGUGUGAGUACAUAUGAUAAAUUUUGGAUUUCUCUGAAUAUUCCAGCUGACAACAUGCUUUAAACCUCUUUAGUUCAUAGUUGCUUUGUUAUUAUGACUCAUUGUCACCUUGGUUUCAUGAGAAAUUGCUAGUAAAGAUAGAAAUGUUAGUGAUACAUGUUCAGGUGCUUAAGUUGGUAGUUUUGAACUUUUUUUUGAGAUAAAGUCCUCAGAUACUCUGUCUUGACAAAUGCAUGACAAUACGGCUUUAUGAUCGUAUUUUGCUAAGUAUGAUUAGUUGUGGGAAUUCAUAAGCUAAAGUAACGUUCUCUCUUUUCUUUUGCUCAUUUUCAUGCAUUUAAUUUUCCUUUAUCUUUUGUUUGCUUAUGGUUACUUUAUUCUUUCAGUUUCUUUUAAUGUAGUAGUUAAUAGCGUUUAGUAUUAAUAGAGUGGGUCAUAAUACGAGAUUCAAG